AGAGUUUGAUCCUGGCUCAGGAUGAACGCUAGCGAUAGGCUUAACACAUGCAAGUCGAGGGGCUGCAUAAGAGUAGCAAUACUUUGGUGACGACCGGCGCACGGGUGAGUAACGCGUAUGCAACCUGCCCAUAACUGUGGAAUAACCCGUCGAAAGGCGGACUAAUACCUCAUGUUGAUUAUCGUUCGCAUGGAUGAUAAUUGAAAGAUUUAUUGGUUAUGGAUGGGCAUGCGUGACAUUAGGUAGUUGGUGAGGUAACGGCUCACCAAGCCGACGAUGUCUAGGGGUUCUGAGAGGAAGGUCCCCCACACUGGAACUGAGACACGGUCCAGACUCCUACGGGAGGCAGCAGUGAGGAAUACUGGUCAAUGGGCGAGAGCCUGAACCAGCCAAAUCGCGUGAAGGAUGAAGGUAUUAUGUAUUGUAAACUUCUUUUGUCGGGGAAUAAAGUGCGGUACGUGUACCGUUUUGUAUGUACCCGAAGAAUAAGCAUCGGCUAACUCCGUGCCAGCAGCCGCGGUAAUACGGAGGAUGCGAGCGUUAUCCGGAUUUAUUGGGUUUAAAGGGUGCGUAGGCGGGACAUCAAGUCAGCGGUGAAAGUUCGUGGCUCAACCACGAAAUUGCCGUUGAAACUGUUGUUCUUGAGUGUAGAUGAGGUAGGCGGAAUUCGUAGUGUAGCGGUGAAAUGCUUAGAUAUUACGAAGAACUCCAAUUGCGUAGGCAGCUUACUAGGCUACAACUGACGCUGAGGCACGAAGGUGCGGGUAUCAAACAG
This 775-nucleotide ribosomal RNA is filed under the name uncultured bacterium. RNAcentral's name for it is "bacterial SSU rRNA". It matches the Rfam family "Bacterial small subunit ribosomal RNA", at positions 8 to 775 of the family's 1533-position model. The record is from RNAcentral.